UGCUUGGGAUGAUACAAUUGAUUACCAUAUAAUAAUAAAGUAACAUCAAAGGUUCUAUUCAUAUGCUACACUAUAUUCAACUGUGCACAAAAAUGGCAGCCACAUCUGAUACAUGUUACUGAUCUGGGGCCAAAGAGAAGGGAAAGAAUAGGGGCACCCCAGAACCAGGAUUGGGUCUAUACAUAAAAAACUUGACCAACAUUUAAGAGACUUUCAUGAGGUACAUUUAAGAUCACACUAUGUUCCCUACAUAUCUUAGUAAGAAAUGCAUAUAUAUAAUCAAUAGCUAUUUUCUUGUAGAAUGUUGAUUCCCUACUUGCCCUCACUAUUGUGUUUCCUAGCAUGUGAACCACCCCAGCAUCCUUGCAGUUGUUCAAAUAUUCAAGUUCCUCAAUCUCAAUCUUGAUGCUUAUAGGUCUUUAUAGCCGUAUCGUGCAACACAUCGAAACAUGUGGAAAUUCUUCGGUCCAAUUCGCUUGACAAGGAAUCGCUCUUCGUCUG
Non-coding RNA from Lupinus albus (white lupine), 501 nucleotides. Lineage: Eukaryota; Viridiplantae; Streptophyta; Magnoliopsida; Fabales; Fabaceae. The record is from the annotation of a GenBank genome assembly.